GACGAACGCUGGCGGCGUGCUUAACACAUGCAAGUCGAACGGAAAGGCCCCCACUUUUUUGGUGGAGGUGCUCGAGUGGCGAACGGGUGAGUAACACGUGGGUGAUCUGCCCUGCACUUCGGGAUAAGCUUGGGAAACUGGGUCUAAUACCGGAUAGGACCAUGGUUUAGUGUCUCAUGGUGGAAAAAUUAUUGUUUUGGUGCAGGAUGAGCCCGCGGCCUAUCAGCUUGUUGGUGGGGUAAUGGCCUACCAAGGCGUCGACGGGUAGCCGGCCUGAGAGGGUGGACGGCCACAUUGGGACUGAGAUACGGCCCAGACUCCUACGGGAGGCAGCAGUGGGGAAUAUUGCACAAUGGGCGCAAGCCUGAUGCAGCGACGCCGCGUGGGGGAUGACGGCCUUCGGGUUGUAAACUCCUUUCGUUAGGGACGAAGCCGCACCU
This 440-nucleotide ribosomal RNA is filed under the name Corynebacterium matruchotii. RNAcentral describes it as "bacterial SSU rRNA". It matches the Rfam family "Bacterial small subunit ribosomal RNA", at positions 28 to 458 of the family's 1533-position model. The record is from RNAcentral. Lineage: Bacteria; Bacillati; Actinomycetota; Actinomycetes; Mycobacteriales; Corynebacteriaceae.